RNAcentral lists this long non-coding RNA (221 nucleotides) under Mytilus galloprovincialis (Mediterranean mussel). Lineage: Eukaryota; Metazoa; Mollusca; Bivalvia; Mytilida; Mytilidae. The record is from RNAcentral.
GUGAAGUGAUUUUUUUUCUUUCUGCUAAUCUAUUUAAUAUACACACCCACGGUGCACACAGUUUAUAUGAAUUAUUUUCUCAAGACAUAAUUAUGAUAUCACUUGGCACAUAUAGGAAAAAAGUUAUUAGAAAGAGAUUUGAAGGACGAAGGAUUAAUGCAUUUUCUAGUUUGUCACGCUAUUUAACAUUUCCAAUUCCAGAUUAAAAACCAAUUCCCACG